GCCCCGAGGUGAUUUUCAUGUUAAAUUGCAAGUUUAAGGGAGCAGUUUUAAAUUUCUGCCGGGGCUUC
Molecule: transfer RNA, 68 nt
Filed under: Chlorocebus djamdjamensis (Bale Mountains vervet)
Lineage: Eukaryota; Metazoa; Chordata; Mammalia; Primates; Cercopithecidae
Description: tRNA-Cys
Source: RNAcentral